GUUCAGAUAUACCUAAAAUGGAAUUUGCGCUUUUUUGACUUUUGGAAUGAGUCAUAGCAUGAGUCUAAGUCAAUUAUGAAGAAAAUGUACGUGACAGACAAGAGCAGCCCAUGAAUCAAGGAAACGUCUCCUCUGAGCCACUCUCCUCUGAGACGAACACAGAAUCCUGGCUUGUGAAAAUGGCUAUGACGAGGCACUGUUUAUGCAUUUAGCCGUGGUUUUCACCUCGAGCUGUUCACUGCAGCCACUGGGGCAUCUUUUAAAAACUAUUGUUGCUGGGGUUCCGACUCAGACCAGUUGAGUUGGAACAACCAGGGCUGGGACACAAGCAUUACAUUUUAAAAGCUCCCCAGGUGACUCUAAUGGUUAGCCAGGGCUGAGAACCCCAGAUAAAGUGCUCGAUCAGAGCAAGGUACUCUGUAUAAUUGAACAUUUCUUGUCAUGGCCAACUGUGGAGGAAAACGGAGAUGGGGAGUACUUCUGUUUCCUCUUCAAGCUUCCAGAUCUCUCUUUAAGUAAUUCAUUUUAAAAUGUGAACUUGGAGAACUAAGCAAGAAGAUAGUUUCAUCUUACAGCACCAGAAAAUCUGAACAUCAGGAAUUCUUUAGGUUGCCUAUUACUAUGUGAUGUGGUCAAGUGGGGCAUUACAAUUCCGGGUUAUCAGGCCUUGUAAAUGGGACCAGUCGACAGAGGGAUGCUGAGAACUAAGCAAUGGACACCUGGACUCAGAGCAAAUGCAGGCCAAAAAGAAAAUGUGUUGGUUAGGGAAAGGCUGAUGAAUGUGUCAGGAAGGGAGGCUCAGGCGUUUAAAGAUCACGCGGCAACCGCUGGCAUGGGCACAGUAAAUCACUUUGGGGCCAGGGCCUGUGGUUCAUUCCUGCUAGGCCCUGGAGGCGGGUACCAGUUACAGUGCUGCCCAAUUCCAAAUAUGCUGCGUCCAAUCUUCCCACCCCUUGCCACAGUUCUGCAGGAGGUCAGGCCGACAAGACGCCAUUUCUGGGUCCUCGAGAUCAGAUCCCCUUUCUCCCUUUUUUUGAUCUGGCAGAAGGUGAAGAGACGGAUGCUCAGGAUAUUGCUGCUCAGGUGUGUUACAUUUGUGGUCGUAUUGGGUGUUCUCCCGAACAUCGGUGCCUGCACGAGCCAUAGAGUCACAUCCUCAACGAUGGCCGAGCCUCCUUCCUGACUCUGAUUGGACUCUUGAGGCCUCUUAAACCACUUGAUGGCCUGAAAAUUCACUAAAUAUGAAGCCCAGGCAACGAAAUUGCAAAGUGUACUUUACCUAAAAAUAAUUCAUG
This 1295-nucleotide long non-coding RNA is filed under the name Equus caballus (horse). RNAcentral describes it as "lncRNA (ENSECAG00000034916.3)". Lineage: Eukaryota; Metazoa; Chordata; Mammalia; Perissodactyla; Equidae. The record is from RNAcentral.